This 468-nucleotide ribosomal RNA is filed under the name uncultured bacterium. RNAcentral's name for it is "partial 16S ribosomal RNA". It matches the Rfam family "Bacterial small subunit ribosomal RNA", at positions 28 to 507 of the family's 1533-position model. The record is from RNAcentral.
GACGAACGCUGGCGGCGUGCUUAACACAUGCAAGUCGAACGGAAAGGCCCUGCUUUUGUGGGGUGCUCGAGUGGCGAACGGGUGAGUAACACGUGAGUAACCUGCCCUUGUCUUUGGGAUAACUUCAGGAAACUGGGGCUAAUACCGGAUAGGAGCUCCUGCUGCAUGUGGGGGGUUGGAAAGUUUCGGCGGUUGGGGAUGGACUCGCGGGUUAUCAGCUUGUUGGUGGGGUAGUGGCUUUCCACGGCUUUGACGGGUAGCCGGCCUGAGAGGGUGACCGGCCACAUUGGGACUGCGAUACGGACCAGACGCCUACGGGAGGCAGCAGUGGGGAAUAUUGCACAAUGGGCGGAAGCCUGUUGCAGCAACGCCGCGUGCGGGAUGACGGCCUUCGGGUUGUAAACCGCUUUCGCCUGUGACGAAGCGUGAGUGACGGUAAUGGGUAAAGAAGCACCGGCUAACUACGUG